Molecule: ribosomal RNA, 404 nt
Filed under: Verrucomicrobiota bacterium
Lineage: Bacteria; Pseudomonadati; Verrucomicrobiota
Description: Verrucomicrobia bacterium partial 16S ribosomal RNA
Rfam family: Bacterial small subunit ribosomal RNA
Source: RNAcentral
UGGGGAAUCUUGCACAAUGGGGGCAACCCUGAUGCAGCGACGCCGCGUGAGCGAUGAAGGUUUUCGAAUCGUAAAGCUCUGUCCUAUGGGAAGAUAAUGACGGUACCAUAGAAGAAAGCCCCGGCUAAUUACGUGCCAGCAGCCGCGGUAAUACGUAAGGGGCGAGCGUUGUCCGGAAUUAUUGGGCGUAAAGAGUGCGUAGGCGGCAAAUUAAGUCAGAUGUGAAAACUAAGGGCUCAACCCAUAGAUUGCAUCUGAAACUGAUAUGCUUGAGUCAAGGAGAGGAAAGUGGAAUUCCUAGUGUAGCGGUGGAAUGCGUAGAUAUUAGGAGGAAUACCGGUGGCGAAGGCGACUUUCUGGACUUGAACUGACGCUGAGGCACGAAAGCGUGGGGAGCAAACAGG